UACAGAGGUCUCAACCGUUGUCCGGAAUCACUGGGCGUAAAGGGUGCGUAGGCGGGUUUUUAAGUCAGGGGUGAAAUCCUGGAGCUCAACCCCAGAACUGCCUUUGAUACUGAAGAUCUUGAGUCCGGGAGAGGUGAGUGGAACUGCGAGUGUAGAGGUGAAAUUCGUAGAUAUUCGCAAGAACACCAGUGGCGAAGGCGGCUCACUGGCCCGGUACUGACGCUGAGGCACGAAAGCGUGGGGAGCAAACAGG
RNAcentral lists this ribosomal RNA (253 nucleotides) under uncultured bacterium. RNAcentral describes it as "partial 16S ribosomal RNA". It matches the Rfam family "Bacterial small subunit ribosomal RNA", at positions 524 to 776 of the family's 1533-position model. The record is from RNAcentral.